GGGGUUCUAGGCCAAAGCUCGUCCUUGUGGCGUGGCUGGGUUUGGGCUUCCUAUGUUUGGAUAGUGCGCAAGCGCUUCCAAUCGUUUACUUUGAAAAAAUUAGAGUGUUCAAAGCAGGCGUAACCUUGCCAUUGAAUAUUACAGCAUGGGAUAAUAGAAUAUGACGUUGGUCUUAUUUUGUUGGUUUCUAAGGCUGAUGUA
This 201-nucleotide ribosomal RNA is filed under the name uncultured fungus. RNAcentral's name for it is "partial small subunit ribosomal RNA". The stretch from base 81 to 201 matches the Rfam family "Eukaryotic small subunit ribosomal RNA", at positions 747 to 864 of the family's 1831-position model. Lineage: Eukaryota; Fungi. The record is from RNAcentral.